GUCAGUGUGGUGUAGUGGUUUGAGCGUUGGACUACAACUCUAGAGAUCAGGGUUUGAUUCCCAGCUCGGCCA
This is a non-coding RNA of Phrynosoma platyrhinos (Desert horned lizard), 72 nucleotides long. Lineage: Eukaryota; Metazoa; Chordata; Lepidosauria; Squamata; Phrynosomatidae. The record is from the annotation of a GenBank genome assembly.